RNAcentral lists this ribosomal RNA (808 nucleotides) under uncultured bacterium. RNAcentral's name for it is "bacterial SSU rRNA". It matches the Rfam family "Bacterial small subunit ribosomal RNA", at positions 8 to 791 of the family's 1533-position model. The record is from RNAcentral.
AGAGUUUGAUCCUGGCUCAGGACGAACGCUGGCGGCAUGCCUAAUACAUGCAAGUCGAACGCUGAAGCACUCUGCUUGCAGAGUGCGGAUGAGUGGCGAACGGGUGAGUAACACGUGGGAAAUCUGCCUAUAAGUGGGGGAUAACAUUCGGAAACGGAUGCUAAUACCGCAUACAUUCUUGAACCGCAUGGUUCUUGAAAGAAAGACGGCUUUGCUGUCGCUUAUAGAUGAUCCCGCGGCGUAUUAGUUAGUUGGUGGGGUAAAGGCCUACCAAGACAAUGAUACGUAGCCGACCUGAGAGGGUGAUCGGCCACACUGGGACUGAGACACGGCCCACACUCCUACGGGAGGCAGCAGUAGGGAAUCUUCCACAAUGGGCGAAAGCCUGAUGGAGCAAUGCCGCGUGAAUGAAGAAGGUCUUCGGAUCGUAAAGUUCUGUUAUUAGAGAAGAACAAGUCAAGGAGUAACUGUCUUGACUUUGACGGUACCUAACCAGAAAGUCACGGCUAACUACGUGCCAGCAGCCGCGGUAAUACGUAGGUGACGAGCGUUGUCCGGAAUUAUUGGGCGUAAAGGGAGCGCAGGCGGUUGGAAUAGUCUGAUGUGAAAGCCCACGGCUUACCCGUGGAAGGUCAUUGGAAACUGUCCAACUUGAAUGCAAAGGAGGAAAGUGAAAUUCCAUGUGUAGCGGUGAAAUGCAUAAAAUUAAGGAAAAACACCAGUGGCGAAGGCCACUUUUCUGGUCUGUAAUUGACGCUGAAGGCUCCAAAAGCGUGGGGAAACGAAACAGGAAUAAGAUAACCCGGGU